Molecule: transfer RNA, 73 nt
Filed under: Methanoculleus sp.
Lineage: Archaea; Methanobacteriati; Methanobacteriota; Methanomicrobia; Methanomicrobiales; Methanomicrobiaceae
Also listed under: 1 other name
Description: tRNA-Asp
Rfam family: tRNA
About the family: Transfer RNA (tRNA) molecules are approximately 80 nucleotides in length. Their secondary structure includes four short double-helical elements and three loops (D, anti-codon, and T loops).
Source: RNAcentral
GCCCAGGUAGUGUAGUGGCCUAUCAUGAUGGCCUGUCACGCCAUCGACACGGAUUCGAAUUCCGUCCUGGGCG